RNAcentral lists this non-coding RNA (21 nucleotides) under Arabidopsis thaliana (thale cress). Lineage: Eukaryota; Viridiplantae; Streptophyta; Magnoliopsida; Brassicales; Brassicaceae. The record is from RNAcentral.
UGGUUCUAAUAGCAACAUCUA